RNAcentral lists this ribosomal RNA (461 nucleotides) under Dacus palmerensis. Its description in RNAcentral is "partial large subunit ribosomal RNA". It matches the Rfam family "Bacterial large subunit ribosomal RNA", at positions 1850 to 2568 of the family's 2925-position model. The record is from RNAcentral. Lineage: Eukaryota; Metazoa; Arthropoda; Insecta; Diptera; Tephritidae.
AAGUCUGACCUGCCCACUGAAUUUUAAAUGGCCGCAGUAUUUUAACUGUGCAAAGGUAGCAUAAUCAUUAGUCUUUUAAUUGAAGGCUGGUAUGAAUGGUUGGACGAGGUAAAUACUGUUUCAUAUAAAUUUAUAGUAGAAUUUUAUAUUUUAGUUAAAAAGCUAAAAUAAGAUUAAAAGACGAGAAGACCCUAUAAAUCUUUAUAUUUAAUAUAGUUUAAAUUUUUUUGGUUUGGUUUAUUUUUAUUAUAUUAAGUAUUUUGUUGGGGUGAUGUUAAAAUUUAAUGAACUUUUAAUUUUUUUAGAUCAUUUAUUUAUGUAUUGUUGAUCCAUUAUUAUUGAUUAUAAGAUUAAGUUACUUUAGGGAUAACAGCGUAAUUUUUUUGGAGAGUUCAUAUCGAUAAAAAAGUUUGCGACCUCGAUGUUGGAUUAAGAUAUAUUUUAGGUGUAGCUGCUUAAAU